Molecule: ribosomal RNA, 497 nt
Filed under: uncultured bacterium
Lineage: Bacteria
Description: partial 16S ribosomal RNA
Rfam family: Bacterial small subunit ribosomal RNA
Source: RNAcentral
GAUGAACGCUGGCGGCGUGCCUAAUACAUGCAAGUCGAGCGAACGGACGAGAAGCUUGCUUCUCUGAUGUUAGCGGCGGACGGGUGAGUAACACGUGGAUAACCUACCUAUAAGACUGGGAUAACUUCGGGAAACCGGAGCUAAUACCGGAUAAUAUUUUGAACCGCAUGGUUCAAAAGUAAAAGACGGUCUUGCUGUCACUUAUAGAUGGAUCCGCGCUGCAUUAGCUAGUUGGUAAGGUAACGGCUUACCAAGGCAACGAUGCAUAGCCGACCUGAGAGGGUGAUCGGCCACACUGGAACUGAGACACGGUCCAGACUCCUACGGGAGGCAGCAGUAGGGAAUCUUCCGCAAUGGGCGAAAGCCUGACGGAGCAACGCCGCGUGAGUGAUGAAGGUCUUCGGAUCGUAAAACUCUGUUAUUAGGGAAGAACAGAUGUGUAAGUAACUGCGCACAUCUUGACGGUACCUAAUCAGAAAGCCACGGCUAACUACGUG